UUCGUUGCUGCGCACAGGCUUUCUCUAGUUGCGGCGAGCGGGGGCUACUCUUCGUUGUGGUGCGCGGGCUUCUCACUGUGGUGGCUUCUCUUGUUGCGGAGCACGGGCUCUAGGCGCGUGGGCUUCAGUAGUUGUGGCACGUGGGCUCAGUAGUUGUGGCUCGGGGGCUCUAGAGCGCAGGCUCAGUAGUUGUGGCGCACGGGCUUAGUUGCUCCGCGGCAUGUGGGAUCUUCCCGGACCAGGGCUCGAACCCGUGUCCCCUGCGCUGGCAGGCGGAGUCUUAACCACUACGCCACCAGGGAGGUCCCAAAUGUUACUGUUUGAAACACUGUGUACAAAGGUGUUCUACCUUUGUUCUACCUCUAGCUAUUCAAACUAAUCUGACUUUCCAUUCUUUAACAGGAAGCAUGUAUGUGAUUCAUUUGCCAUAAAGAUACAUGUGUUGGCGAUCGCUGCUUGGGUUCAGCGUUUAUCGAGGGCUCACUCAGAGCAGAAUCCUGUGUUUGGCGGGCAGCAUGUCACUUGCGGAAGGAGAAGGAGAAAAGUGAUCUAGAAGUGGUGGCCUCGACUCAUCCCAAGAGUGGAAGCACCUGUAUCUGUGAGCAGUGGUCCAGGCGUUUCCCCAGGUAGAACUGGGGCGAAGAGGGCUGAAGAAUGUGCUCCGGAGAAGCCUGCAGGAGAUUAACCCCAUUACCCAAUCUUCCACGCAAGCAAAGAAGGCAGAAAUGACCUGGAGUUACAGAUUUCCAAAUAACCUUUAUAAACAGAAAAGGAUGAUCUCUGCAAACAUAUGUUACAACGGAAGUAAAGAUGGACAAAUGAUACCAAAAAUGGAAACCAACAAGUAAAUCCAGAGCAAAUACAGCGUGUUGUUUAUUCUCUUCCUUUUGGAUUGCUUUUCUGGGACUGUCUACUGGGAUCUGAAUAUACGGAUCAAUAAACAGAGUCACUAAUAUACGGACAACGAACUUUUUAGAGCAGAAGUCAGCAGAGGUCCUCCCCACCCCCAGGGAGCUGGGUGGUGUACAGAGGCAGCAUGGCUUAGAGGAGAGAAAGUGACUAUAACCUGAAUUCUAGUCUUUAUUCCCCACUUACCAUCAGUGAGACCUUAGACGAGUCACUUCCC
This is a long non-coding RNA of Balaenoptera acutorostrata (minke whale), 1126 nucleotides long. RefSeq lists it as uncharacterized. The record is from RefSeq and is a predicted model, not a curated record. The transcript has 6 exons. Lineage: Eukaryota; Metazoa; Chordata; Mammalia; Artiodactyla; Balaenopteridae.